RNAcentral lists this small RNA (1454 nucleotides) under Spiroplasma sp. CR-1. Its description in RNAcentral is "bacterial LSU rRNA". The stretch from base 611 to 1454 matches the Rfam family "Bacterial large subunit ribosomal RNA", at positions 1 to 848 of the family's 2925-position model. The record is from RNAcentral. Lineage: Bacteria; Bacillati; Mycoplasmatota; Mollicutes; Entomoplasmatales; Spiroplasmataceae.
CCCCUUAUGUCUUGGGCUACACACGUGCUACAAUGGUCGGUACAAAAAGUUGCGAUCUCGUAAGAGGGAGCUAAUCUGAAAAAGCCGAUCUCAGUUCGGAUUGAGGGCUGCAACUCGCCCUCAUGAAGCCGGAAUCGCUAGUAAUCGCGAAUCAGCAAUGUCGCGGUGAAUACGUUCUCGGGUCUUGUACACACCGCCCGUCACACCAUGAGAGUUGAUAAUACCAGAAGUCGGUAUUCUAACCGCAAGGAGGAAGCCGCCCAAGGUAGGAUUGAUGAUUAGGGUGAAGUCGUAACAAGGUAUCCGUACGAGAACGUGCGGAUGGAUCACCUCCUUUCUAUGGAGUUAAUACUUUAUAGUAAUUAACUAGUUUUAAUGACCGUUAUGUUUAGUUUUCAGAGAUUAGUUUCUCUGACAAUAACAAGUAAAUGUUAUUGGAAUUGUUCUUUGAAAACUGGAUAAUAGACAUCUAGUUAUUUUAAUCACAUGAUUAAAAUAACAAUAAUUCAAAAUUUCUGUUAUUUUUAAAAAAUAACUAAAAUUUCACAGUUAUAUUUGUAAAUGAUUCUCAAAAGACUGAUUUAAAAUCAGGUCAAAUAAUUUAUAAAACUUUGAAGUUACAAAGGGCGUAUGGUGAAUGCCUUGGGAAUAGGAGACGAUGAAGGACGUGACUACCUGCGAUAAGGUUCGGGGAGCUGGAAGUAAGCUUUGAUCCGGACAUGUCCGAAUGGGGAAACCCGGUGAGAUUAAUCUCUCAUCAUCCUAUAAUGAAUAAAUAGUUAUAGUGAAGGUAUACCUAGGGAAUUGAAACAUCUUAGUACCUAGAGGAAAAGAAAGCGAAUGCGAUUCUCUUAGUAGCGGCGAGCGAACGGGGAACAGCCCAAACCAGAUUUAUCUGGGGUUGUAGGACCAUAAUAGUAGAGUUACAAAACUUGUUUAUAGUAGAAAUGGUUGGGAAACCAUGCCGUAGAGGGUGAUAGCCCCGUAUACGGAAUAGACAAGACUCGAAAUGGAAUCCUGAGUACGGCGAGACACGUGAAAUCUUGUCGGAAUCAACGCGGACCACCGCGUAAGGCUAAAUACUACCUAUUCACCGAUAGUGAACCAGUACCGUGAGGGAAAGGUGAAAAGCACCCCGGGAGGGGAGUGAAAUAGUACCUGAAACCAUAUGCCUACAAGAAGUCGGAGCCCGUUAAUGGGUGACGGCGUGCCUUUUGUAGAAUGAGCCGGCGAGUUAUGAUAGCAUGCAAGGUUAAGUAGAAAAUACGGAGCCGUAGUGAAAGCGAGCCUUAAUAGGGCGUUUAGUAUGUUGUCAUAGACCCGAAACCAGGUGAUCUAGCCAUGAGCAGGUUGAAGUUGAGGUAAAACUUAAUGGAGGACCGAACCGACGUUCGUUGAAAAGACCGCGGAUGACUUGUGGCUAGGGGUGAAAUUCCAAUCGAACCUGGAGAUAG